GCCGCGCCAUCCCACGUCCAGCUCGCCACGCCCUUGAUCGCCGCCAUGCACGCCUGAUUCAUGCCAUCCCACGAAUCGUGCAAAGCUACCUAGUCUACCUAGGUGCUAAGGAACCGGUCAAGGCACGAACACCCUCGUGCUCUCGCCAUUUAUUCUCUGAACCUGAAACAGAAACGAUAACUAACAGCGACAGGAUUACAAUGUCAACAAUUCUCCCCUUAAUCCUGGCGCCCAGAAGAAACCUCCAUGACACCAAGCAUCAGUCUCAUCUCCAGGAACUUGACGCGGCCCAGUGCCUUGGUUAGAAUGUCAGCAAGUUGGCCAUCCGUGCUGACAUGCUCGAUGUCCACCUUGCCUUCCUCAAUGCACUCACGAAUGAAGUGAAAUCGAAGAUCGAUAUGCUUGCUUCGUUCGCGGUGCACAGGGUUCUUUGCCAGCUCAAUCGCAGACCCGUUGUCCACCAACAGUUUCACCGUCUUUGGUGGCUGUCCAAGCAGUUCGCCCAGAAGCCUGCUCAGCCAAAUAGCCUGACAUGCCGCUUUGGAAGCUGCAGUGUACUCAGCUUCGCAAGAUGAGAGGGCAACCACAACUUGCUUCUGAGAAGUCCAUGUGAUGAUGCUGGAGUCGAGGAAGAAAACCACCCCAGUUGUGCUCUUCCUGUCGUCGACAUCCCCAACGAGAUCGCUAUCACUGAAUGCCACCAGUUUGGGUUUGCCACCGGAGCUCUCCUUGUACGUGCAGCCAUACCCAAUUGUGCCCUUGACGUAGCGCAGGAUCUGCUUCACCGCUGCCCAGUGUGACGCCGUGGGUGCUUGCAUGUACCUGCUCACCAUCCCGACGGCAUGAGUGAUGUUAGGACGGGUAUUGCACAAGUAACGCAGACUACCCACGAUGCUCCGGUAGUCUGUUGCGUUCACUGCAUCUCCACCUCCUCCCUUGCACAGCUUGAGCCGGUUCUCCAUCGGCGUGUGGCAGGAGUUGCAGUCUGUCAUUCCUGUCGCUUCCAGAAUCUUGCGAGCAUAUGCGCUCUGGCAGAUGGAGAUCGUGCCCGCCUCUUGCUUGACUUCGAUGCCCAGGUAGUAGCUCAGGAGGCCGAGAUUGCUCAUCGCAAACAGACUGUGCAUCUGUUGCUUAAACGUGGCGAUGUCGUUGUCGUCCGUGCCCGUGAUGAUCAGGUCAUCCACAUAGAUGCCGACGAGCAGCGUCGACUUGCCCGUCGUACUCCUGAACACGACAUGCUCCAGGGGGCUCCUCUCGAACCCGAGCGAUGCCAGGGAGGCAUCCAACUUGGCGUACCAUGCCCGUGGAGCUUGAUGGAGUCCGUACAGGGCCUUGCGCAGCCGGAGCACCUUGUGCUCCUCCCUGGGGACGAUGUAGCCACGCGGUUGGUGCACGUAGACCUCCUCCUUGAUAUCGCCGUUGAGAAACGCCGAUUUGACGUCCAUGUGGUGCACUUGCCACCCACAGCGAGCGGCAAGCGCGAGCAGCAGACGCACAGUCUCCAUGCGCGGCACCGGUGCAAAGACCUCGUCGAAGUCCACUCCCUGGCGUUGUGCGUAGCCCUUGGCGACAAGUCGCUCCUUGUGCUUGAGCACAUGACCUCUAGGAUCCUUUUUUACCUUGAAGACCCACUUCAGCCCAAUGGCCUUGUGGCCGGAAGGGAGCGUGGCGAGCUCCCACGUUUCAUUGUUGUGGAUGGAAGAGAGCUCCGCGUCCAUGGCCUCCUUCCAGCUUGCCUCGUUCAGAGCCACAUCCACAGAUGGAGGCUCCUCCGCGGCAACCAAGCACAAGUCCAGGUCGAACUCCUCUGCAUCGGCUUUCAUGACGUAGUCGUUGUAGAUGGGGUUGGGCUUGAGGAUGCCGUCACGCGCUCUCGUGAUCAUCGGGUGCUGUGGCCUUGGUGGGGUCGGUGAAGCCGCCCUCGUCCCCGUUCCAGCAGAAGCUGACGAGGAUGCAGUUGCAGUCCAUGGCGUAGUCCAGUCCGCGGCAGGACUUGGUGGCGGCGUGCGGCUGCUUCGUGCCGUGGUUUCCUGCCCGACAGAGAUUUGGGCUGGUGUACUCUGCCCGGCGGGGAGAUCAGCUGCCGUGGCUGCCGUGGCCGCCGAGUGCGUGAAAACCCCGACGUCGAACGACACCGCUUCUACCGUCUCUCCAGUCUUGUCCCAGUCCCACCGUGCGCCUUCGUCGAACACGACGUCCCGCGAGACAUGCACGCGGUUCUUGACAGGGUCGUAGACGCGGUACGCCGCCGAGCCCGGCUCGUACCCGAAGAGUACCAUGGGUAUGAUGCGAUCCUCCAGCUUUGCCAGGUUCGGCUUUGUGACCUUGACAUGAGCUACACACCCAAACACACGCAGGUGAUUCACAUCAGGCUUGUAGCCGUGCCAUACCUCGAAAGGAGUCUGCCCGUCAACACUUUUCAUGGGCGAUCGGUUCAGCAAGUACACUGCGGUGGACACUGCUUCCCCCAGAAUUUUGCAGGCACCCCCAUCGCCUUCAUCAAGCUGCGCGCGGUGGAGACGAUCGUCUGAUUUCGGCGUUCCACAAUGCCGUUCUGUUGUGGCGAAUAUGGCGCCAUCAGUUGGCGCCCGAUCCCAUCAUCGGCGCAGUAUGCGGCGAAGGUGGCCACGGUGAACUCCCCACCGCGGUCCGUCCGGAGCAGACGCAGCCUGCGCCCGGUCUCCACUUCUGCUCCUGCCUUGAACCUCUUGAUCGCCUCUGCUGCCUGAUCCUUGGACUGAAGCAGAGUGAGCCACAUGUACCGGCUCUUGUCGUCGACCAGCAGCAAGAAGUAGCGCUUUCCUGCAUGUGUCGCCGGCGAUAUGGGGCCGCACAGGUCGCCGUGUACCAGGUCGAGCAGUUCCUCCGCCCGCCGCUUCGCCUUCAACGGGAACGAUGCGCGGCGCUGCUUCCCGACCAGACAGCCGUCGCAAAGUUGCUCGACGUGCUCGAUCCGGGGCAGCCCCCGUACCAUGCCGAGACGUCCAAGCUUCCUGAGCGCGUCGAAGUUCAGGUGGCCAUAUCAUGCGUGCCACCUCCAGGAGUCGUCAGUGUGCAUCGCUGCGAGGCACACUGGCUUGCGGAUGUCGAGGGCGAUGACGUACAGGCGAUUGCGCGCCCGCGGCACCCUUGCGAGGAGCCGUUGCUGUCGGUCGAACAGCUUCAGGGUGCCAUUGCGGAUGUCGACGUGGCAGCUGUUCUCGUCAAGCUGUCCCAAGCUCACGAUGUUGCUGCGAGGCGAGGGAUGUAGUACGCAUCAGUGAGCGCACGGUGAUCGCCGUUGUCGCAGGCGAACAUGAUCGUUCCUCUCCCCUUGAUCUCGACGACCGACCCGUCGCCAAACUUCACCGUGCCGCCAAUGCUGGUGUCCAGAUCGGCGAAGACAUCGCGCCGCCCGGUCAUGUGGUUGCUGGCGCCGGAGUCAAGGUUCCAGAUGUCGUCGUUGUGGUCUGCAGCGGUGAGGAGGACGUGUUCCUCCACGAGAACUAUGUGUGUGCCCACGUACUCGCCAGGGCCGCCGAUGGUGGCCAUCAUGAGAGCCGGCCCGUCGUCGUCGCUGAGGUUGCAUGCGCGCGCUAGGUGCAGCGCGGGCUUGUCUUCCUCCGCCACAGCCAGGUGUGCCUGCGGCUGUUGCUGCUUUCGUUCGCGACGAGGCUCGGGGCGGUCCCAGGAUAUGUGUCCUGCAAAUUUGUUGCAGUUGUAACACUUAAUCUCGGACAUGUCUCGCUUCCCGUUUCCUCCAUUGGAGCCGCGUCGAUCAUUGGCACGAUUCUCCUGCUUGCCGCGGCCACUUCCCUUUCCGCUGCCACCGUUGGAGCUGGAUCCCUGUCCCUGCUCCUUCUUUUUCCCACGGGCCAACCACUUCUCCUCUGUGGGCAGCAGCUGGGACCCCGUUGUAUCCGUGGUGCCGAUCGAGCACCUCUCAGCCGACGAGCGCAGCCGGCCGAUCAACUCCUCGACGGACAUGUCGUUGAGAUCGAGGAGAGUCUCGAUCCCACUGCGUCCCCGAGAGAUCGCAGGUUGUUGGUGAGGUUGGUGAUGCGCAUCCCGAAUGCGUCCAGCGUCUCGCCUUCCUUGAAGGCGAUCUGCUCGAACUCCUUCCGUAGUCGCUGCGUUGUGGCUUCCCGUGCACGACGCACGCCCAUGCGCAUCAUCUUGAUCGCCUCCCACGCGUCCGCCGCCGUCUCCUUCACCGCGAGGACGGGUACCAUCUCCGGAGGCAGCGCACGUAGCAGCGCAGAGAGCGCCGCCAUGUCCUCGCGGUCGCCUGGCUCGCCCAUGCCGGACACUGCCUCCCACAGGCCUUGGGCGCGCAGGUUGAUUUUCAUCACCAAUGCCCACUCAAUGUAGUUCGUGGCCGUGAGGGUGGGGUAGACUAUGUUGCUGCCGAAGUUCGUGCGCUCCUGCCCGACGCGCUCGUGGACAACAACCUCGUUGCCGCCCCGCCGGAUGACGCUCCGCCCACGGCUGCGCUCCCGUGGCGGUGACCUCCUCGUUGCUGCUUCCCCUCUUGCGCCGCCUCCCGCCAUCUCCAUGGGCGUCGCCGGCGUACGUCCAUCGUCGCCGUUGGACAUGGCCGGCAGGAUCGAAGGAAGGCUCUGAUGCCACUGUUAGACAGAGAGCGACAGAGAGGGACACAAGUGUUUUGUGCUGAUGUAAGGCUAUGCAGCGUUUUUCUCUCGUUCAUUGCUAAAUAAUCAAAACUGAAGAUAACAGAAAGAGGGUCAUGCCUGAGCUAUCCGGCCGCGCCAUCCCACGUGCAGCUCGCCACGCCCUUGAUCGCCGCCAUGCAUGCCUGAUUCAUGCCAUCCCACGAAUCGUGCAAAGCUACCUAGUCUACCUAGCUGCUAAGGAACCGGUCAAGGCACGAACACCCUGGUGCUCUCACCGUUCAUUCUCUGAACCUGAAACAGAAACGAUAACUAACAGCGACAGGAUUACAAUGUCAACACUCCACUCAUACCACUUCACGGGAGAGAGAGAGAGAGGGGGGUUGACAGAGGGUCCCACCCAUCAGGGUUAAAGAGAGGAAGAGGGAAACAAUGCACAGCGUCUCUUUCGUGGGUAGUUCUUCAUCGAGGAGACCAUGGUGGUCGCUAGAGAGAGGGGGAAUGGAUCCAACAUGUCCUCGCGAUCACGUACAUACCCAAAAUGACGACUAAGGUGGACGGAUGGCAUCGAAAUGAUCAUCUCCAAAGGCGGAGGUGGAGGAGCUGGUCGGAAUUGGGGAAGAUGGUGCCAAUCCAAUGAACUAGCGGAAUCGUUGUGCUGAGGAGGUCACCACAAGCAUGCCUAAGGCGGAGGGCGGAGACAAGGGGCACCGGAGUGGGUGGACAGCUGAGGGACAUUCGCGGCCAACUUAGGCGAGGAUCAGAGGCUGGACGCCCUCUCGACCCUUCCCCGAGUUGCGGUGAUCAAUUUGUGGCCAGGUGAAGAGGAGAAGAUAGCUAGAACAACUCGGGGGUGUCUCUAUUUAUAGAUGGUU
Molecule: long non-coding RNA, 5485 nt
Filed under: Hordeum vulgare
Lineage: Eukaryota; Viridiplantae; Streptophyta; Magnoliopsida; Poales; Poaceae
Description: long non-coding RNA (HVUL_LNC010383)
Source: RNAcentral